RNAcentral lists this ribosomal RNA (620 nucleotides) under uncultured fungus. RNAcentral's name for it is "eukaryotic LSU rRNA". The stretch from base 217 to 370 matches the Rfam family "5.8S ribosomal RNA". The record is from RNAcentral. Lineage: Eukaryota; Fungi.
UAGGUGAACCUGCGGAAGGAUCAUUCAUAACGAGUGUUUAUGGCACUCUAAAACAAUCCAUACCCACCUUGUGUGCAACGUUAAGAAGUGAAACCGAGGUGUGACACGUUCGUUUCGGCGACACGUGUCCCUGAGGUGUCACUCUCUUUAAAAUCAAUCUAUUUUUAACUAGUUUGUCUGAAUCAUUGUAUCAUGAAUAAACAUAAUUCAAAAUACAACUUUCAACAACGGAUCUCUUGGCUCUCGCAUCGAUGAAGAACGCAGCGAAAUGCGAUACGUAAUGUGAAUUGCAGAACUCAGUGAAUCAUCGAAUCUUUGAACGCACAUUGCGCUCUCUGGUAUUCCGGAGAGCAUGCUUGUUUGAGUAUCAGUAAAACACCCUCAGUCCUUUGUUCGCAAAGGACUGGACUUGAGCGAUCCCAACGGCUGUUACACAGCUGGCGGGUCUCUUGAAAUGCAGGUGCGGCUGGACACUUUUCUGAGCUAUAAGCAUUACUUAUUUAGUCCCGUCAAACGGAUUAUUUCUACUGCUGCAGCUAACAUAAAGGUUGAUUGUCCUGUGCCCGACUGAUGCAGAAAUAACUUGGAGCAAUCCUUGUUCACUCGAUCUCAAAUCAAGU